This 520-nucleotide unclassified non-coding RNA is filed under the name uncultured Glomus. Its description in RNAcentral is "SSU rRNA". It matches the Rfam family "Eukaryotic small subunit ribosomal RNA", at positions 569 to 1092 of the family's 1831-position model. The record is from RNAcentral. Lineage: Eukaryota; Fungi; Glomeromycota; Glomeromycetes; Glomerales; Glomeraceae.
AGCAGCCGCGGUAAUUCCAGCUCCAAUAGCGUAUAUUAAAGUUGUUGCAGUUAAAAAGCUCGUAGUUGAAUUUCGGGAUCAAUAUGUUGGUCGUGCCUCGGUACGUACUAGCUUAUUGGUUUCUCCUUUCUGAAGAACCAUGAUGUCAUUUAUUUGGUGUCGUGGGGAAUCAGGACUGUUACUUUGAAAAAAUUAGAGUGUUUAAAGCAGGCUCACGCUUGAAUACAUUAGCAUGGAAUAAUGAAAUAGGACGUUUGAUUCUAUUUUGUUGGUUUCUAGGAUCGACGUAAUGAUUAAUAGGGAUAGUUGGGGGCAUUAGUAUUCAAUUGUCAGAGGUGAAAUUCUUGGAUUUAUUGAAGACUAACUACUGCGAAAGCAUUUGCCAAGGAUGUUUUCAUUAAUCAAGAACGAAAGUUAGGGGAUCGAAGACGAUCAGAUACCGUCGUAGUCUUAACCAUAAACUAUGCCGACUAGGGAUCGGAUGAUGUUAAUUUUCUAAUGACUCAUUCGGCGCCUUACG